ACAUCCUUGGUGGGACGGAGCAGGAAGGCUGGAGAUUUCAUCAAGCUACUCACAGCAGCAUGCCAUUUAAAAUUCAUGAAUUAUUUAUUUCUGGAAUUUUCCGUUUAAUAUUUUUGGACCACAAUUGACCUCAGGUGAGAGAACCUUUGUGGGAGCGCAGAAGUCCAGCAGAGAGACCCUAGCACUUUAUUUGGACCAAAAAAUAAAUAAUAAAUAAAUAAAUAAAUAAAUCCAAAACUAGAUGCAUUAAAGAAGGUUAGACUUCUCCUAUGGAGAAUGCAGCAAGAAAAUACCAUCUUGAAGCAGAGAGCAGCGCUCAUCAGGCAUCAGUCCUUCUGGAGCCUUGAUCUUGGACCUCCCAGCUCCAAAAUAAUAAGUAAUAAAUUGUUAUUGCUUAUAAAUUACA
RNAcentral lists this long non-coding RNA (406 nucleotides) under Homo sapiens (human). Its description in RNAcentral is "long intergenic non-protein coding RNA 3063, transcript variant 2 (LINC03063)". Lineage: Eukaryota; Metazoa; Chordata; Mammalia; Primates; Hominidae. The record is from RNAcentral.